Non-coding RNA from Jatropha curcas, 3095 nucleotides. Lineage: Eukaryota; Viridiplantae; Streptophyta; Magnoliopsida; Malpighiales; Euphorbiaceae. The record is from RefSeq and is a predicted model, not a curated record.
AAAAAAAAAAAUUAAUACAAUAACAUAAAGAAAACAAGUCUAAUACAACAAGAUUGGCAUUAUAAUUUUUGUUCAGCUCAAAUAAGAAGGGGCUCAAGAAUUGAAAUCCCCAGAACCUUUUUUCUUUUUUUUGUGUAUUUUUUAGGGUUUAAUUAAGCCUAUUGAUUUUCUAACCAAAUCACAAUUUCCUUCCCGCCGAUCCCCCGAUGAGAAGUUUCGCUCUGUAGAGUGAGAGCUCAAUUCGAGUCGCUCCAUCUCCUUUCCCUUGCUUAAAUUCUUCGCUUCUCCGAGGUCUUCUGUUUUUUUUAGGUUGUUUUUCUUUUCCCACAUCUUUCGGUUGCUGUUUCUUUAACGGAUUGGCCUUUUGUCUCCUUGGCAACCAAACAGAGGGAAUUGCUAUUGUAGAUGUGAAGGUCAUUUUAAUGUGCCGCUCAGAGGAGAAUUUUGAUACCAGGUGUUGAGAAGGUUGGAUCAGAAGUUUUUGAAUUAGUUCUUUAAGAACUGAACUCUAAUAUCAUUUAUACUUGAAGAGUUGAGAGAGAAAGAAUGUCUGGUAGAAAUCGCGGGCCUCCACUCCCUAUGAAAGGCGUACCUCACCCUGGAAUAAUGCCUGCCAUUCAUGAACCACACUUUGCCAGAGGGCUAGGACAAUUGGCAACCCAUCCAGCUUUAAUGGAAGAAAUGAGAGAAUCCCAGUUUGGGAUAGAUCCCAGGCGGCUUCCCCCUCAUCCAGUGAUAAUGGAGGAGCGCCUUGCUGUCCAGUACCAAGAUAUUCAAGGUCUUUUGGCUGACAACCAAAGGCUAGCUGCAACCCAUGUUGCACUUAAGCAGGAAUUGGAAGUUGCCCAGCACGAGUUGCAACAGAUGGCACAUUUUGCUGAUUCAUUGCACCUGGAGAAGGAUGUGCAGAUGAGAGAAUUGCAUGACAAGUCUCUAAGGCUGGAAGCAGAUCUUCAUGAGUUGGAGGCUAUGCGGACUGAGUUGCGUCAUGUUCGUUCUGAUAUUAAGGAACUUGGUGAUAAUAGGCAAGAACUUACAGGUCGUGUACAAGCAAUGACUCAAGAUUUGGCUAGGUAUAAUGCUGAUUUGCAGCAAUUGCCAGCUCUGAAGGCAGAAAUUGAUAGUAUGAAGCAGGAAUUACAGCAUGCUCGAGCUGCCAUUGAGUAUGAGAAGAAAGGAUCUGCUGAGAAUUAUGAACGUGGUCAAAUAAUGGAGAAGAAAAUGAUUGCAAUGGCUCGGGAGAUGGAGAAGCUCCGUGCAGAGCAUGCUAAUGCAGAGAAGCGAGCCCGUGCUGCUGCGGCUGUGGGUAAUCCAGGUGCAGCUUAUAAUGCAAAUUAUGGCAAUCCUGAGGCUGGAUAUGUAGGAAAUCCCUAUCCUGUUGGCUAUGGCAUGAACCCUGUGCAAGCUAAUGUUGAAAAUUAUCCUCAAUAUGGAGCUGGACCUGGUCCCUGGGGUGCUUACGAUAUGCAGCGAGCUCAAGGACACCGAUAGACUGGUUUCUGAGUAGCUAAGAUGUGUGUUAAAUGGCUUGGAACGUUGGGGCUUUUGACUGCAGCCUGUGCACGGGCCGAGAAUUUUCAUGAGGGACGGCUGUAGAACUGUUUGGUUUCUGCGCUGGAGUAAUUAAUUGACAAUAUGGCUUCCAUAUUGUUCAGAAACAUUCAGACCAACCCUUUAUUGUUGUAUUCUACUGCAUUCUUUAGAAGAAAGAAUCAUGUGUUCUGCACAUUGAAAAAGCGCUACACAGCCAAACAGCCACUCAAAAAAGAAAAAAGCAUGGUAAGCAAAUAAAAAUUUCACGAUAAACCCAGUCUAAAACACUUGAUAAACUCACAGAAGACUACGAAACAAUCAUCUUUGUAGAAACUCAUGUCCAACUCUUUACUCUAACCAAUGCCUUUGUGUUGGAAACUAACAUUAAUUGCACUCUGGUAAACAAAUGCACUCCACUACCCAGUGUGUUCUGGUAAACGACCCCAUUUUGGGCCAAGUCAUCAAAUUCUGUUACAUUGUUCUGUUCUUUGUUGUUUAAAAACGAAGCAGUGGUGUCAAAUUUUAUUUGUGAUUCUUAUAGUUCAAAACAGGCAGAGUGAGUUCGUAAUUGCAAAAGGAAUGCAAUUUAUGUUGAAUGGGAGUCCAUUUGUCCAAAUGUUUUCAAUGCCUAUUGGCUCUUGUAUUUUGCAACUGACCCUUCGAUGACAAACAAAGUUGUCUCUGUUUUUCAAGAAGCUAAAGAGCAUGGCGUUGCACUUGCUAGAGCGCUUUCAACGAUGCUCAAGACCUCUCUCUAUAGUACUCCCUGGCUCCUGCAAUGAUCAGGUCUUCCAGGGAUUGGAUUUUGUAAUAUCUGAAGCUAAGAGAAAUGGGAUUAAGCUGGUGUUGAGUUUGGUGAACCAUUAUGAGAACUUUCAGAGAAAAAGGGCUGUACAUUAAUGUCUGUAUCAUCUGAUUUCUUCACAAACUCAGUGGUCAAAGGAUGCUGCAAGAAUCGCAUCAAGGUCACUCACUAAUGCUGAUAUGGAAAAAUUGUGGUUGAUAAUUUUGAUGGAUUUUGUGGAGAUUCAUUUUAUCAUUAAUGGAGGAUCAAAUCCAGCAAGAGAGAAGGUACUUUGAGAGGAGAAAGAAUUGUGUAUGCAUGAAUGGAGAUUCACAAUCUGAAAUUUUUGCAAUGUCUGUUGUCAAAUGCGCCUGUUGUUAGCAUGACGAGGGAUUUGGGCAUUGGCAGAUGGGUUUGUUGCCGAGUUUGAAUACGGGGGAAGUGUACAUAAUUUUGAUUUUGCUAACCUGUGCUGAAAGUGACAAAAGGAAUUCAACUGGUAGCAAUAGCAAAGAAAAGAUGAUUGGAAUACUGUUCAAUUUCUCCCCUUAAUUUGAUCAUCAUAUAUAACUUAUUUUUUUUUGUUAUUUGCACAAGGUGUCAAGAGUUGUUUUUUUUAAUGGUCCCCGAUAAAUCCGAUUAAUCUCUACUCGCCAUCGGAGGUAAAGGGGCUAAAUAAGAGAAAUUCUGAAUCUGAUGUGCUUUUCCUCUUCAUAGAUACAACUAUAUAUACAGAAGCUAUGGAAUUUUUACAUAAUUACAUCGAUUAUUUCCUUAA